RNAcentral lists this long non-coding RNA (601 nucleotides) under Homo sapiens (human). RNAcentral's name for it is "non-protein coding lnc-SEC14L4-1:1". Lineage: Eukaryota; Metazoa; Chordata; Mammalia; Primates; Hominidae. The record is from RNAcentral.
GCCCCCGCCCUCCUGCUCCUGCUGCUGCUGCUGCUUUUUGCAGGCACCCCCACCACCCCUGAGUCAAUCCAAGAAACUGAGGUCAUCAACCCAGGACCGCCUAGGGGCCAAACUUCUCCAGAUCCCUACUGGAAGACUCUGGAUGUGGGUGUUGGGGGCAGGAACCUGAUGACUCUGAGCUCUCUGGCUCUAGAGAUAUUGAUGAGUCAAGGGACCCCAAGAUCAUCCCUGAAGUGAUCCAACCCUUGGUGCUUCUAGAUAACCACAUCCCUGAGAGGGCAGGGCCUGGGAACCUGGUCCCACUGAAACCAAGGAACUGGAGGACAACGAGGUCAUCCCCAGGAGGAUCUCACUCUCUGCGGGGGACCAGGAUGUGUCCAAUAAGGCACCCAUGUCCAACACUGCCCAGGGCAGCAACAUCUUUGAGAGAAUGGAGGUCGUGGCAGUCCUGAUUGUGGACAGCAUCGCGGGCAUCCUCUCUGCUGUUUUCCUGAUCCUGCUUCUGGUGAACCAUAUGAAGAAGGAUGAAGGCAGAAACGACCUGAGCAGGAAGCCCAUCUACAAAAAAGCCCCUAGCAAGGAGUUAUUACGCUUCUUCUAU